GGGAAGGAUAAGUGAACAGUAUAUAGUAUAUAGAGCUUUGUUAUCAAUGAUAUAUUUAGAUUUAUUCAUUAUGGCUGAAAUCUUUGCAACUUUAGUUUUAAUUUUUAUGAUGUGAGGUUUCCAGCUGAUUUUAUGAUCGAGUGUUACACCAGGAAAUGUUUGUUCAUAGACUCUUUCAAUAGUUUCGUUGCCAAUUUUAACUGGUAAUUGUACAUUCAUUACACGAUUUCCAAAGAACUCUGAAAACAUCAUCUGAGUAUCUCAACACUGGCCCGAACACUUAACACAUUUUGAUGUCGGAUGUGAUUGUGUUGCAGGUGAAGAGGAAAGAGCCGCUGGAGCUGGAGGAGGGAGACAUGAAACGACCGCGACCCCAGACGCCGCCAGAAGACCAAGCCGAGCGGAGGCGGCCGGACGAGCGACUCGCUGCCGAGAGGGACAAUAAGCGGCGGAAGAAGAAGCCGCGGAACAGGAAGCCGUGGGAACUGGACUCGGAAGGAGAGGAGACAUCGGACGAGUCGUCGUCGGAGAAGGACGAGGAGGAAAGUGAGAAAGACUCGGACGACGAGGCGCUGAGUGCGGACAGCGACGACGAGAGCCUGUCCUCCUCCUCCGGCUCCUCUUCGUCGUCUUCGUCUGACAGCGAGGACGAGGAGCGUCUGAGCGAAGGCCUGGACACCAUGGACGACUCCACCAUGGACAGCACGGCGGACAGAGACAGGAGUAAAACGGCCAGAGCCAACGCCGACGUUCAAAUGGG
Molecule: long non-coding RNA, 760 nt
Filed under: Neogobius melanostomus (round goby)
Lineage: Eukaryota; Metazoa; Chordata; Actinopteri; Gobiiformes; Gobiidae
Description: lncRNA (ENSNMLG00000012768.1)
Source: RNAcentral